GAGAACCUGGGGACGCUAGGUUCCGGAACCUGACCUGAGCUGGGGCCUGUGCUUCCAGCGGGUGGUGGGGGGCCUGGUGUGCUGGCAUCAAGUAAGCCGACUACCUCGGCAAAGGCUUAGGGACAAGAGACCAGCAGCCUGAACUGGCUGGGGCAUCCGGAAGGCUUAGAUCUUGUGGCCAAGAGUUCAGACCGUGGCGAAGUGGAGAGUGACAUGCAGUUGGAUGGCGGUGACUGCGUGGUCCUGCAACCCUGGUUCCAGUCUGGCAAGCAUUGUAGACCUGGCUGCUGAAGACUGACGGGGCCCAGGGUCCGCUGCCCCCACCGCCAUCACCACCUCGGAACCCAGGGUAACGCUGUCAGUCUUUGAUGAUGUCAGAAGUGGGAUCCAAAGUAGAGCUUAUAAUGACACCUAGGAGUGCUGAGUGACCAAGCAAGGUACCCACCAGGCCGAUUAUGUCCAUUGUUCUCUUGGAGCAGCUGGUCAUCAUGGGAAAGGGUGCCACACUGGGAAUGCAAGCUGUCCUUGCUUCUGAACCAAGACUACUAUUGUGC
This 554-nucleotide long non-coding RNA is filed under the name Homo sapiens (human). Its description in RNAcentral is "non-protein coding LINC01278:4". Lineage: Eukaryota; Metazoa; Chordata; Mammalia; Primates; Hominidae. The record is from RNAcentral.